AGGGUUUGAUCAUGGCUCAGAUUGAACGCUGGUGGUAUGCUUAACACAUGCAAGUCGAACGGUAACAUUGGAGCUUGCUCCAGAUGACGAGUGGCGGACGGGUGAGUAACGCGUAGGAAUCUGCCUAGUAGUGGGGGACAACAUGUGGAAACGCAUGCUAAUACCGCAUACGCCCUACGGGGGAAAGCGGGGGAUCUUCGGACCUCGCGCUAUUAGAUGAGCCUGCGUUAGAUUAGCUUGUUGGUGGGGUAAUGGCCUACCAAGGCGACGAUCUAUAGCUGGUCUGAGAGGACGAUCAGCCACACUGGGACUGAGACACGGCCCAGACUCCUACGGGAGGCAGCAGUGGGGAAUAUUGGACAAUGGGCGCAAGCCUGAUCCAGCAAUACCACGUGUGUGGAGAAGGCCUGAGGGUUGUAAAGCACUUUCAAUUGGGAGGAAAACAGCUGGGUUAAUAGCCCUGCUCUUGACAUUACCUUUAGAAGAAGCACCGGCUAACUCCGUGCCAGCAGCCGCGGUAAUACGGAGGGUGCGAGCGUUAAUCGGAAUUACUGGGCGUAAAGCGUACGUAGGCGGUUAUUUAAGUCAGAUGUGAAAGCCCCGGGCUCAACCUGGGAACUGCAUUUGAAACUGGAUAACUAGAGUUUGAUAGAGGAGAGUAGAAUUUCUGGUGUAGCGGUGAAAUG
This 686-nucleotide ribosomal RNA is filed under the name uncultured bacterium. RNAcentral describes it as "bacterial SSU rRNA". It matches the Rfam family "Bacterial small subunit ribosomal RNA", at positions 8 to 688 of the family's 1533-position model. The record is from RNAcentral.